GGGGGCGUUUUUGGAUUCGACAGGGGUACCAUGAGCAGAUUAAGCGUGUCGGAGGGUUGUCUCCGUCACUAACACACACAGUUAUAAUAACUGGCAAAGAAAACAAUAAUUUCGCAGUAGCUGCGUAAUAGCACUCUGCAUCGCCUAACGGCAUCUCCUAUGUGCCGUUAACCGCGAUUCAACCUUUAAUAGGAUACGCUAGGCACUGCCGUUUGAAGUCUGCCUAGAAGAGAUUAAUCAAACUAGCAUAAUGAUGGCCGUCUAUCACUUACCAUUAUGUGAAACUCAAUGAUAGACUACACACGUAGAAAGAUCUGUAUCAGGACCUCUGGACGCGGGUUCGAAUCCCGCCGUCUCCAUCC
Molecule: non-coding RNA, 362 nt
Organism: Staphylococcus sp. NAM3COL9
Lineage: Bacteria; Bacillati; Bacillota; Bacilli; Caryophanales; Staphylococcaceae
Source: Rfam